ACUUGCAUAUUUUCACAACCUUUUAUUUAUGCCAAUAUAAUAAGCAAAUCUUUUGCUUAUUUCUUAGUUUCAUAUUUAUUUAAUUACGGCAGCUAAGAACCCUUUUGUGUAUUCAUAUGCCCUUUCCCUCUUUUAUGUUGGCUAAAGGAGAGCCAAAUUUUUUUAUUUGUUUGUUUGUUUAUUUUGAUGGGGGUCGGCUCUCAAGGAGGUGAAAAUGUGGGUCUGAUUUAGGUUAUGCUGAGUUGCAAUAUCGCUGAGAUACCCAGUGGAAAAGCAGAAGAACCAUGGGAAUACCAGAGAGGCAAGCUCUUUUGAUAGGAUGUUUCCAUUUGGAUGAAUCUUAGUUCCACAUUGAGGAUCUAAGCUCAACGAACCCCUUCAUGGUUUCGAUUCAUAAUGUUUCACUCAGAGAGCUCAACUUGGAUCCAGAGAUUGGCACAGAUUUAAGAAACUGCUGAAUGAUUUUCCCGCUGGGAGAAAGGGCCAUUGGUUUAAACAGAAAUACAUACUCAUUUUAGCCAUUCAUUUCUGGCUCUAACUUUUUUCUUUUAAUUUAAGAAUAAUAUCAAAUGUUCAGAAAAGUUGCAAAAACAAUACAAAGAAUACCGUUUUUAUCAGUCACCUAGUGCUAGUUAUCAAUUUCUGUAUAAAGAUCUACUCCAAAACCUGAUGGCUUAAAACAAGCACCAUUAUAAGUAUAUAUUAUUCUUUUCUAUGACAAGAAUUUGGGCAGAGCUCAGUUUAGUGAUUUACGUUCAAUGUGGUGUUCACAGAAGUCAUAGGAUAGUAUUUGGCAAGUGGAUGGAUGGGUCUGGAGAAUCCAAAAGAGCUUCUGGCACCUUGCUGAGGAUGGCUGGAAGGCUGGGUCCAAUGGGAACUAUUGACAGGAACACCUACACAAGACACUUUCAGUGCGGUGGUGUCAGGGAGUUGGAUGUCUUAUAGCAGUUCAAGGUUCCCAGACAACGUGUUCCAAGAGCCCCAGGUUGAAGUCGUAAAGUUUCUCAUGACAGUCCUGCAAGUUGCAAAGCAUCAGUUCCCCCACAUUCUGUUAUUCAAACAAGUCACUAAAGCCAGCUCCAGCCGGGCACAGUGGCUCAUGCCUGUAAUCCCAGCACUUGGGAGGCUGAGGCGGGGGCAUCACCUGAGGCCAGGAGUUCAAGACCAGCCUGCCCAACAUAGCGAAACCCUGUCUCUACUAAAAAUACAAAAAUUAGCCAGGCAUGGUGGCGGGCGCCUGUAGUCCCAGCUACUUGGGAGGCAGAGACAGGAGAAUUGCUUGAACCUGGGUGGUGGAGGUUGCACUGAACCAAGAUCGUGCCACUGCACUCCAGCCUAGGCAACAGAGUGAGACUCCAUCUCAAAAAAAAAAAAAAAA
RNAcentral lists this long non-coding RNA (1378 nucleotides) under Macaca fascicularis (crab-eating macaque). RNAcentral's name for it is "lncRNA (ENSMFAG00000060664.1)". The record is from RNAcentral. Lineage: Eukaryota; Metazoa; Chordata; Mammalia; Primates; Cercopithecidae.